RNAcentral lists this ribosomal RNA (506 nucleotides) under uncultured bacterium. RNAcentral describes it as "partial 16S ribosomal RNA". It matches the Rfam family "Bacterial small subunit ribosomal RNA", at positions 29 to 523 of the family's 1533-position model. The record is from RNAcentral.
AGUGAACGCUGGCGGUAGGCCUAACACAUGCAAGUCGAACGGCAGCACAGGAGAGCUUGCUUUCUGGGUGGCGAGUGGCGGACGUGUGAGGAAUACAUCGGAAUCUACUUUUUCGUGGGGGAUAACGUAGGGAAACUUACGCUAAUACCGCAUACGACCUACGGGUGAAAGCAGGGGAUCUUCGGACCUUGCGCGAUUGAAUGAGCCGAUGUCGGAUUAGCUAGUUGGCGGGGUAAAGGCCCACCAAGGCGACGAUCCGUAGCUGGUCUGAGAGAAUGAUAAGCGCAAUUGGAACUGAGAAAGGGUCCAGACUCCUCCGGGAGUGAGCAGUGGGGAAUGUUGGACAAUGGGCGCAAGCCUUAUCCAGCCAUGCCGCGUGGGUGAAGAAGGCGUUCGGGUUGUAAAGCCUUUUUGUUGGGAAAGAAAUCCAGCUGGUUAAUACCCGGUUGGGAUGACGGUACCCAAAGAAUAAGCACCGGCUAACUUCGUGCCAGCAGCCGCCGUAA